UACAGAGGUCUCAAGCGUUGUUCGGAAUCACUGGGCGUAAAGGGUGCGUAGGCGGCUUGGUAAGUUGGGUGUGAAAGCCCCGGGCUCAGCCCGGGAAGGGCACUCGAAACUGCCGAGCUGGAGUGCCGGAGGGGAGAGUGGAAUUCCUGGUGUAGCGGUGAAAUGCGUAGAUAUCAGGAGGAAUACCGGUGGCGAAAGCGACUCUCUGGACGGCAACUGACGCUGAGGCACGAAAGCGUGGGGAGCAAACAGG
RNAcentral lists this ribosomal RNA (253 nucleotides) under uncultured bacterium. RNAcentral's name for it is "partial 16S ribosomal RNA". It matches the Rfam family "Bacterial small subunit ribosomal RNA", at positions 524 to 776 of the family's 1533-position model. The record is from RNAcentral.